RNAcentral lists this long non-coding RNA (1131 nucleotides) under Monodelphis domestica (gray short-tailed opossum). RNAcentral describes it as "lncRNA (ENSMODG00000044621.1)". The record is from RNAcentral. Lineage: Eukaryota; Metazoa; Chordata; Mammalia; Didelphimorphia; Didelphidae.
AUGUACAAGUAUUGUCUCAUUUUAUACUCUCAACAUAGUCACUGGGAAGGGAGGAAGGGAGGAAGGGAGGGAGGAAAGAAGGAAGGAAGGAAGGAAGGAAGGAAGGAAGAAAGAAAGAAAGAAAGAAAGAAAGAAAGAAAGAAAGAAAGAAAGAAAGAAAGGAGAGAGAGGGGGAGGGAAGAAGGAAGGAAGGAAGGAAGGAAGGAAGGAAGGAGGGAAGGAAGGAGGAAAGGAAGGAAGGAGGGAAGGAAGGAAGGAGGGAAGGAAGGAGGGAAGGAAGGAAGGAAGAAGAGAGAGAAAAAGAGGGGGGGGGUCACCUCCAUGGACUAUCAUGAUACAUUCUUGCUCAAAAACCAUCAAAUAGCUUCCUAUUUUCUCCUAGGCUCCUUAGCUGAGUAUACAAGACUGUACCUCACCUCACAAGACAGUACAAGUACAAGACUGUACUGCCCCACCUCAACCUACCCUAUUCAAGUUUCUAUCUCAUUGUUACCUUUAAUAUAUUCUAGACAUACCCUAGACAAACGGGCACACCCAUCCUUUCCUGGGCUCUUCUCCCAGCAAUGUCCAGCCCCUUCAUUUCUUCUCCCUUCAAGGUCCAGCUUGGCUGCCCCCCACUGCCAGGCCAUGAAGCCCUUCCCAGCCCUUCCCCUAGUGGCUAUGAUUUCUUCUAACCCUCUGUACCUCUUCAGUGCUCCAUGGCUGCUUUUAUUAUUGCCAUUUGGGGGGCUGCUCCAGACCCCUGAUCUCCUCUGUAUAGCUUAGAAUCCCAGUAAGCUGCCAGGGAUACUGAGAGGCAGGACUGGAACCCUCAUUGCCCUGGCUUCUAUGCUGGGUCUUCCAGUCGCUGUCCCAGACUCCCUGGUGUCUGCCUUCACCACGUUCUAUCUCAUCUCUGUUCCUAACCACUGGCUCUUUGAGAGACUGACUGUGUUUAAAGCUCACACUUCCGUAGCAUGUCAGACCUUCACAACAGCUCAUCUGAGGUUCCUGUAAGCAAUAGUUUACUUGUAGCUCAAGUCAUAAGCCUGGAACAUUUACACCAAACUCUCCUCACUGACGGAGAGAAUGAUUCGAUGCUACCCUUCCUGCCUUAAUAAAGCCUGGGCUUCAUCUGAGUGUUUGGAAGAG